CCUACGGGAGGCAGCAGUGGGGAAUAUUGGACAAUGGGGGGAACCCUGAUCCAGCGACGCCGCGUGAGUGAAGAAGUAUUUCGGUAUGUAAAGCUCUAUCAGCAGGGAAGAAAGAAAUGACGGUACCUGACUAAGAAGCCCCGGCUAACUACGUGCCAGCAGCCGCGGUAAUACGGAGGGGGCAAGCGUUAUCCGGAUUUACUGGGUGUAAAGGGAGCGUAGACGGCGAUGCAAGUCUGAAGUGAAAGGCGGGGGCCCAACCCCCGGACUGCUUUGGAAACUGGAUGGCUGGAGUGCAGGAGAGGUAAGUGGAAUUCCUAGUGUAGCGGUGAAAUGCGUAGAUAUUAGGAGGAACACCAGUGGCGAAGGCGGCUUACUGGACUGUAACUGACGUUGAGGCUCGAAAGCGUGGGGAGCAAACAGGAUUAGAUACCCUUGUAGUC
This 443-nucleotide ribosomal RNA is filed under the name uncultured bacterium. Its description in RNAcentral is "partial 16S ribosomal RNA". It matches the Rfam family "Bacterial small subunit ribosomal RNA", at positions 338 to 795 of the family's 1533-position model. The record is from RNAcentral.